RNAcentral lists this long non-coding RNA (2398 nucleotides) under Solanum lycopersicum (tomato). RNAcentral's name for it is "long non-coding RNA (SLYC_LNC000137)". Lineage: Eukaryota; Viridiplantae; Streptophyta; Magnoliopsida; Solanales; Solanaceae. The record is from RNAcentral.
AUUUCCCAAACCCAAAUAGCUCCUCCUUCUCUCUUCUUUCUCUCUCCUAAGAAGAAGAACACCAUAGAAGGUCAAAUUCAAGGAGGUUAUAGGGUUGGAAAACUCAAAAUUUCUCCAUCAAUCUUCAUCAAAUAUCAAGGUAUGAGAUUCCUUUCAUCUUUGGGAUCUCUUUCCCCAAAGGGUUUUAUAAAAUUGAUUUCGAAAGUAUGAAAUUCAAGUGAGUUUUCAUCCAAUACGAAAUUGAUCUUGUGAUUUGCUUUUUUUUAAUGAUUUUUUUAAAAUAUUAUGAAUAUAUUAAUAUAUAUUAUAACUCAAUUAUGUUAUUUCUUUAUGGAUUGGUCUAGUUUGUAGAAAAUGACAUUUUCCCCUAAACCCUAGGUUGUGAUCUUGAAUUGAAUUGUAUAGUGUUAAUACAAUUGGCUUGGUUAGUGUGUGAAUUACUAUCCUAUGUUGUUAUUAUUUCAAUUAUGAGCAGAUUAUGAUAUAUUAUAAUCCAAUUAUGCUAGUUCUUGAGUAAUUGACCUAAGUCUCUAAUUUUAGUCUAUGAACUAGUGAUGAAUUGUUGUGUAGUGAUCCAAUUUACUUCAUUAUUAUGUUGGUUACUAUUGUGUGAUAAUAUUAGACUCAUUGUUGGGUUGGAUUUUAGGGUUGAUGGUAAGACCUUGAUGAUGGCAUUGUGAAGGAGAUUUGGGUAAGUCUUGUGAUCUCUAUUCUUUACUUCAAUUGUGGUUACUUGUGAUUAAGUGAUGAUGUUGUAUUCAAGUAUACCUUAUAUUAAGAUUGAUAGGGUUGGUAUGAUGUUGAAUUGAAAUGUCUUGACUAUGGUUUAUGAGGUGUUGGGUAAGAUGUAAAUGUUACAAGGAUGGUGAUAACUUCUCAAUGUGCUUUAUUAUGAAGUGAUAUGUAAAUGUGCUAACCUCACUUGUGUGAAUUGUAAUGAAAAGAUAAUACUCAUGAAAUUCUUAUUGAGCUAUGAUGAUUAUGAUUAUAUAAGGGAUAUACCCCAUGACCUACAUUAAGAUAUGAUUAUUAAUAAAGGUAUUAAAGACAGUUCAAAAGGGACUCUAGCUUAGGACCGAGUGAACUAGAGGUGAGGAGUGUACCUUCCACUUAGGGAAGGUGGGAUUAGUAAUGUACUCUUGAGAUUGGAGACUAUAAUGCAUGUAGGAUAAAGAGGGUCCCAACUAUAUCUCCUAGUUCUUUAACUGUGUUGCCUCCAUAGGAACACUAGCUUAUGGAUCCACGUAGUUGUUAUGUUCAUGUUUUGGUACUACCUUGGCAAGUAGUCCACCUUCCUUCGGUGUAGGGUUCUAUGACACCGGAUUCCACAUUAGCUCAUGUUGUCUAUGUUGGUUAAGGCAAGAUGUUCGCGAUAGUAAAAUAAAGUAAUAAAAUGGACUCUAACUAGGAUAACCUGAGAGGUUUGACUUAGUCUAGGUAGGGGUAUGAGACUCUACCUAUACAUUGCACUAGUUAGCAUUAAGGGAAGUCUUAGAAGGAUGUUCUUAUAUAUGUAUAUGCUUAUAAAUGUAAAUGAUAUGUAUAUGAUGAUCUUACAUGUUGAUGACACUAUAUGAUAUUGGCUUCACUUAUGAACAUGUCGUUGGUCCUGCUAAAGUAUGAUGAUGUUUACUCAUAAUAACAUGCCAUGUGAAGUUAGACAUUGGUUAUGGUUUUUUUUAGGUUUACUUGAUUGAGUAAGGUUAUGGGACUUUGCUUAGUUAUUACACUAGUGGACUUAAUGAGGGUUCAUGAGUAAUUGUAUUGCUUUGAUUAUGUUGUAAUGAACUCUUAUUCAUGCUUGUUGAUAUUAUAAGUUGAUGAUAGAGUUGUCUUAAUUAUAUGUUCAAGUAAGAUGAUAUGCUUAUUGACUUGAUUAGGAUUAAUAUUGUUCGUCGUGUGAUGUACAUGAUCUUGACUUAAUGAAUAUGUCUUAUUGGUUGGCAUAAUCUUCUUGUAUGUGCAUAAGAGUUUUUCAAAGGAAAUUGCAGACUUCAAAUGAAAUGUCUCUUUUUAGCAUGAUUUUAUGAUGUGUGUGCAUAUGGUCCUAUACUUAGUACAAGUAAUGUGCUAACCCCAUUUUCUCCCUUUCCACAACAUUUUAGGUUUCGAUCGUUGAAGGCUUUUGAGACGACUUUGAAGGAAGACUUGGAAUUCUCACUCAUCCAAGUUGGGUAGGUCCUCACUUUUCGAGGGCAAUGCCACUAUCAAGCUAUUGAUGUUGUUGUAGUCUUAAAGACAGUACUUUCAUUUCUUUCUUUUGAGUCCUAAAGAUUGUAUAGCAUACAGUGACUUUUAUUAUAUUGUUGUAUGUGUUAUGUCCAAUUUUUAUACUCUUGUUUAGACGGUUAUGAGAUGAUACAUCCGAUUUUAAGACUAUGUUAUAUUAUAUAUAAAU